This is a long non-coding RNA of Daktulosphaira vitifoliae (grape phylloxera), 367 nucleotides long. RefSeq lists it as uncharacterized. NCBI's taxonomy places the organism in Eukaryota, Metazoa, Arthropoda, Insecta, Hemiptera, Phylloxeridae. The transcript is spliced from 3 exons. The record is from RefSeq and is a predicted model, not a curated record.
AAAUGAAAAACGAAUAUUUAUUUAUGAAAGUAAAAUACUUGAACUAGAACAACAAUUAGAAUCAAACAAACGCGUCUACCAAGAAGAAAGAAAAAAAAAUCUGAAUGGGUUAGAAAUUAUUAGAGAUCAAUUUUCAAAUUAUAUCAAUUUAAUGAAACAGAAUAAUAGGAAUUAGUCCAACACUCGUAAAUACAACUACAUCAGCUAAUGUUUAAUCAGCUAACUUAGUUAUCAUUAGGAAUAGCUGCAAUAGUUACCUAUCUAGUGCCUGGUACAAAAUAGUGGUCAGAAGUAGGAUCUUUUGGGAAGAAAUAUUUAAGAAUUUAAGAAAUAUUUACUUAUUGAACCAAUAAGCUACUUGUUUAAU